GACGAACGCUGGCGGCGUGCUUAACGCAUGCAAGUCGAGCGGAAAGGCCCUUCGGGGUACUCGAGCGGCGAACGGGUGAGUAACACGUGAGUAACCUGCCCUAGGCUUUGGGAUAACCCCGGGAAACCGGGGCUAAUACCGGAUAUGACCUGGUGCCGCAUGGUGUUGGGUGGAAAGUUUUUUCGGCCUGGGAUGGGCUCGCGGCCUAUCAGCUUGUUGGUGGGGUGAUGGCCUACCAAGGCGAUGACGGGUAGCCGGCCUGAGAGGGCGACCGGCCACACUGGGACUGAGACACGGCCCAGACUCCUACGGGAGGCAGCAGUGGGGAAUAUUGCACAAUGGGCGGAAGCCUGAUGCAGCGACGCCGUGUGAGGGAUGAAGGCCUUCGGGUUGUAAACCUCUUUCAGCAGGGACGAAGCGUGAGUGACGGUACCUGCAGAAGAAGCGCCGGCCAACUACGUG
RNAcentral lists this ribosomal RNA (462 nucleotides) under uncultured bacterium. RNAcentral's name for it is "partial 16S ribosomal RNA". It matches the Rfam family "Bacterial small subunit ribosomal RNA", at positions 28 to 507 of the family's 1533-position model. The record is from RNAcentral.